CUGUCUCUUUUCUAAUAAUUUGAAUUUACUUUGUAAGUGAGAAAGCUUACUGUUUGAAGAGGGAGGAGAAGACCCUUAGAAUUUUACUUAUAUGUUUAAUCAUACUGGUUUUGUUGGGGUGACGAAGAAAUAUAUUANGACUUUCUUUAAAAUACUUGCCGAUUAUAUUAAGUGAGAAUAAAUUACCUGAGGGAUAACAGCAUAAUUCUACAUUUGAGUUUGUGACCUCGAUGUUGGACUAGGAAACUAGCAAGCUAGCCGUUUGCUUUGUGGGUUCUGUUCGAACUUAAUUCCU
This 295-nucleotide ribosomal RNA is filed under the name Doto paulinae. Its description in RNAcentral is "partial 16S ribosomal RNA". The record is from RNAcentral. Lineage: Eukaryota; Metazoa; Mollusca; Gastropoda; Nudibranchia; Dotidae.